GAGAGCAAGCAGAUCGAUCCACAGUUCGCUGGUGAUGCUGCUGCUAGGGCUGCGUGGUUGAUUAGCUAGCUCGUCUAGUUCAGAAUUUAUCUAAUGAAUUUUCGAUUUUCUGUUUAUGUGAUGAUUGAUAGACAAAUUGUGGAACUAAUUAGACAGUGUUAGGUUUCACUGGCGCCAGGUUAGGUUAUUGCUGAUCUGAUUCAUGUAAUUCCUUUGAACACCGCACUGUUGCCACCAUUUGAAAUCAUCUCUGUCAAGAUUGUUGAUUGUUUCUCUGUUUCUUGUUCUCUAUAAGUAGUAAAUGGCGAUUCCUAAUUAAUUUCCCCCUUUUCAGUUGUAUGUUCAGUUCAAUGCUGCUGUAAAUGGCUUCAUCAACACACGUCUAAUUGCAUUGCCUUCUGUUUUCCUGUAUUUAUCAGGGGUACCUGACCAUUCUUGCAGAGUUAUCCAGAAGCUAAAAUCAGCACAUAAUGUGUGGAUGUUUCAGGGACUCCUGACCCUGAAACUGUGACUCCUGUGGUGCCCCGGCACCAAAAAUUAUAUACAGAGGCUCACACUAGCACGUGCAACUUAGUUCAGUCUGAACAUGUUGAUACUGAACCAGAAGUUGUCUCUAAACUGUCAUAUUGGACUUAACUCUUGACAGGGUCAUGGAAAUGACACUAAGGGGAGAGCGGCCAGUUGUUAUCCAGGAUAUUAAUGAUGAGCCUCCAAACUCUGAUCAGCCGAUCUCCGUGCCCUGUAUGGCACCCAAGCCCAAGGUUUGCACUUGAAACUACUACCUAACCAAACGUUUUACAGUAUGCAUUUGCCUUUUUUCUCUAGUCUCACCGUCUUGGCGGAAAGAACAUGGGUGUGUGCAUGGUAACCGCACACACCAUCUGAUGAUGAAUAUAGACCUUUUCGAGUAUCUUCAUGAUGCCCAUUUGUGUUGCUGUUGAACAGCCAUUAGAGAAACAAGGCUGUGCAAAUAAUUUCGGCUGGGAUCUGAGAACUCAUCCAAGAAAAUCAACAUCGGGAGUUCAAACCGGUAGCUUAAACUUGUGUGUACGCCACAUCUAUUUGCGUUGUGAACUUUGGCAAUCCUACUGUGAACUUUGGCUGGGAAUCCUUUGUCUAGUUAUGCUUGUCUGUGACUCUAUAGAAAACCACUUAGGCCCCGCUUGGAAUAGGGGUAAUUUUAUACACCUGUAUUACUUUUACAAGUGUAUUUCACCAGCCAUGUGUGAUUUCCAGCCAGAGUUGAGGUCUGUAUCUUCUACAGGUGUAAAGGUGUGGAAAAUGACAAUCCAAUCAGGCCCUUAGUGACCCCAGCUGCAACAACCACUCUUGGUGACUGAUUGAUUGAUGAAAAAGUAAUCAUUCCACGUCAGCGUUCACAGCAAAGUUGCCUGUAAUUAUUAGGCACGGGAAUUAGCGCCUAUUGUGUUUUGCAUCCUUUCGCUCUCUUUUGUUGCCAAGAGUUGUUAGCAGCCCAAAGUUGACAUUUAUGUAUAUAUAUUUCAAGUUGGCCAUCCACUUGCGACUUUAUGUGGAAAGUUAUAAUUUUCUAGUACAUGUGGUUGCAUGCAUUCUACAGAGGCAGGUGU
Molecule: long non-coding RNA, 1589 nt
Organism: Triticum dicoccoides
Lineage: Eukaryota; Viridiplantae; Streptophyta; Magnoliopsida; Poales; Poaceae
Exons: 5
Source: RefSeq, a predicted model, not a curated record